AUGUGUGAGCUCAGCAUCAAGGUAGACAGUUCUGACAGGGUUCAUACAUCAAAGGACACAGUAUUAUCUCACUCUGUUCCCCAGGAACUUUGCUUCUUUUUUAAUGCUAAUGGGUUUGCCCAGGGUCUGCUGAGGAAGGAGGGCUGCAGUAACAGUCCUGAAGAUUCACCGGGACCCCACAGAAGCAGCAAAUCUUUUCAGGGCACUGAACGUCCUCAGGGAAGGCCUUAUCAGUAUGAAAGUUUUCAAGCCAUCCCCCUGAACAUGGAGGCACUGUCUGCUCGAGAUGUCAUGUGGUGGCUACCCUGGCCUUGAGGAGCCCACUCCUCGGACUUGGCCUGCAGGGUGACAAGGGCCCCGAGCCAUCCCUUCUGCCCUCUGAUCAGGAGCUGCUGGCCUGACGUGUCUGAGCCGAGGAAGGCUAAUUCCUUCUGAUUCAGGUAUCAGUUCUUUGAUGAUUCAUUUUCAAGUGGCUCCUGGGAAUGAUUUCAGAAGUUCUAUAAACUUUGCUUUGUAAAACUAAAAUUGCUUUCUGAGGCCAAUUUCAUGUCCAACAAUGGAAAAGAUGAGUCAUCACAGCUCAGGCUCCCUUGGAGCAGGGAAAUAGAAGGAUCCUUGGAUCCUUCUAUUUACCCCAAAGCAACAGCCUAUAACAGUUUAUCAUUACAAGUCUUAUAUAUUCACUAAGUCUCAGUGUAAAAUAUGUACAGUUAGCAGAAUACAUAUGCAUAUAUGUGUACUCCAUAUGGAAGCAAUGGAAGAGUAAAAGAUUCAAAGAAAUGAAGAUAAAAAUAGUGGAAUAGUGGAACAUAUUUUCUUAUGGUUCAAAUUUCUUUUUCUCUUUUCUUUCCUUUUUUCUUUUUGGCUGCACCCCCAGCAUGCAGGAAGUUCCCAGGCCAGGGUUUGAACCUGUGCCACAGUAGCGACCCAAGCCACACCCGUGACAAUGCUGGAUCCUUAACCCAAUGAGCCAUAGCACUCCUCUACGGUUCAGAUUUCUGAUUUUAAUUAUAGAUUCACAUUUGAAGUUAUUUGAGAAUUGGCAUGCCACCAAUUAUUGAAAAGCCCACCACCCAAUUUUUUUUUUCUCCCACCAUCCAAUUUUCUAAAGAGAAAUAGCGUUUGAAAUAUUUUAAAUCAUUCUCUUUUAUUUCUUUGUUUUUGGGGGUUUUGUUUUAUUUUAUUUUCCUGGGUUUUUUUGUUCGCUUUCUUUUUGUUUUGUUGUUGUUGUUAUUUUUGACCCUGUCCAAAGCAUGUUGAAGUUACCGGCCCAGGGAUGGAAGCUAAGCCAUAGCAGCAACUCAAGCCACUGCGG
This 1315-nucleotide long non-coding RNA is filed under the name Sus scrofa (pig). RNAcentral's name for it is "lncRNA (ENSSSCG00040068249.1)". The record is from RNAcentral. Lineage: Eukaryota; Metazoa; Chordata; Mammalia; Artiodactyla; Suidae.